This 503-nucleotide ribosomal RNA is filed under the name uncultured bacterium. RNAcentral's name for it is "bacterial SSU rRNA". It matches the Rfam family "Bacterial small subunit ribosomal RNA", at positions 15 to 507 of the family's 1533-position model. The record is from RNAcentral.
GAUCCUGGCUCAGGAUGAACGCUGGCGGCGUGCCUAACACAUGCAAGUCGAACGGAGAUACGAUGUGAGCGAGAGGUGCUUGCACUGAUUAAUCUUUUCGUAUCUUAGUGGCGGACGGGUGAGUAACGCGUGGGUAACCUGCCUUAUACCGGGGGAUAACACUUAGAAAUAGGUGCUAAUACCGCAUAAGCGCACGGUGUCGCAUGACACAGUGUGAAAAACUCCGGUGGUAUAAGAUGGACCCGCGUCUGAUUAGCUUGUUGGUGAGGUAACGGCCCACCAAGGCGACGAUCAGUAGCCGGCCUGAGAGGGUGAACGGCCACAUUGGGACUGAGACACGGCCCAGACUCCUACGGGAGGCAGCAGUGGGGAAUAUUGGGCAAUGGGCGCAAGCCUGACCCAGCAACGCCGCGUGAAGGAAGAAGGCUUUCGGGUUGUAAACUUCUUUUAAGAGGGAAGAGCAGAAGACGGUACCUCUAGAAUAAGCCACGGCUAACUACGUG